RNAcentral lists this long non-coding RNA (2265 nucleotides) under Mus musculus (house mouse). Its description in RNAcentral is "long non-coding RNA chr16:94446480-94448745". The record is from RNAcentral. Lineage: Eukaryota; Metazoa; Chordata; Mammalia; Rodentia; Muridae.
UUGUUUAAGAUGGGCCAGGUUUGUGCCUGUGGGGUUGCUUUCUGCAACAUGACUGCCACAGCAGAAGUGCGUUCUCUGAACGUGGAGGUUUCCUGUACCCCACAGUACUUUCUUCAGACAUACCAUGUGAUUCCACAGUUCUAGCAGAAAGAGCUUUUGAAAAAGCCUUCCAUAAAGUGGCAUUUAUUGUUUAUCAACACUUCAUAGUAUAAUAUCACAUCUUCUUUUUCUGAUUGUUUUGAUUUCAAGAUAAUCCAUAGUAGAUAACAGAAAGCAGUUCAUUAGGUCAUAAUUUAAUUUGGCUUUUUAAAUUACCAACAAGUUGGUUGACAUUUGGUAAUGUCAACGCUAAUCUGUUCAACUUGUCUCUUUUUUUUUAUUAUUAUACCUAAGUACACUAUAACUGAUUUCAGACACACCAUAAGAGGGCAUCAGAUCUCAUUACAUUUGGUUGUUACUGGGAUUUGAACUCAGGACCUUUGGAAGAGCAGUCAGUGCUCUUACCUGCUGAGCCAUGUCGCCAGCCCCCUUGUCUUUAAAAUAUAUGUAUAAACAACCUUUAAAACCUAACAAUAGCCCCUAAUGUUAAUUAUAGAAAUUAACAUUCAAAUUAAACUUUGAUCUGUCAUUAUGCUCCUAAGAAACAAACUCUCAGAACUAAUUAAUGUAUAGAUUGGAAAGUUAAAUCACAAGCUGGCUCUGGGGUCAUGCGAGGGGGAGCUAGUCCCGCUCCUCAGUGGCUGCAGCAGUCAGGAGAGCAGACCCUUCCUCUCACCUGCGCGGGCAGCGCGAUGGAGAGCUAACAGAGCAGUGCUGGAGAGCUUGACCUGGUGGUGUGGGCGUGGGAGAGUGGGCAGGUUGACUAGCUCAUCAGCUGCCACCCAGGCCCAGAUCCAGAGCUUUCAGUUGGCUCACCUGAACAUCUUCCCCUGUAUGCAGUGCUGGAGUAGAUGAAGCAGCCAGUCCUGCAGAUCCAAAGGUGCAGGAUCUCCAUGACAUAGGGCAGCCACAGGGUAACAGAGGAGUCCUGGUGAUACUGUAAUGGAAACCAGAGGCCUUGAAGCAGACCAGUGACUCGUUGUAAUGAACAUUUGCAAGUGAAGCAGUCUGGACAAGAGGGUGCACUGUGACACGCUGUGAUACCCUGCAGUUUCCAGGGUAAUCCUUCCAAGAGAUCUUUUUUUUUUUCUUUUAUGGGAGAAGUUGCAAUGGUAGAGGGUGGGUACGAAGGGACAGGAAGAUGAGUGGGAUGGGUGUGCAUGAGGUGAGAGUCACAAACCAAUCAAAAGUUAAAGGAAAGUUUUAUUACAAAUUUCAGUAGUAAAAUAAUAGCGUUAGGGAAAAAAAAAAAAGCUGGCUCUGCUGAAUGGUACUUUGUAGAGGUUUUAAUUUCUGGAUUAUUACAUUUCCCAUGUAAGUUUUCCUUUUCCUGUUACUGUUACUCUCCUUUGAGACAGUUUGAAAUAGAUCAUAAAUUCUCAGGAGUUGUAAAUUGACGCUUUUGUGGCUUACUCCUAGGGGGACCUUUCCCAGAAGGAAAAGGAGUGCCACCUACUCAGAGAGCAGCUGAAGGUAGCAUGUGAGAACUGCGAGCAGAUAGAACUCAGGAGCUCACAAGAGAUCAAGGACCUGGAGGAAAAGCUGCAACGGCACACAGAGGAAAACAAGGUAAACCUCCCUGAGACUCGGUGAUGGCUGCGGUGAGUGGCAGUGUUUGUCAGCCUCAGUCAGCUGAGCUGCACCAGUGGCCACACAAGAACUCCUUCUCAGGAGCCUCUCUCACUUUUCCCUGCAGCACACCCAGUGGCAGUGCUCCUUGUAGUGAUGUAGAACCUUACCAACUGUUUUGAGAAAAGGACUAUAAAUCUGGGAUUUAAUUUAAUUGCCUUGUCUGUUUGACUGAAACUCUUCUGUGUUUAAUUCCAAGUUAAAUUCCUGUCUGCGUUGUGAGGCACUAUCAGAGGAGAGGUCACAAAUGUGAGCCUGCAGCCACUCGUGGUUCCGUCUAGAACUCUUCCGACAGAGCAGUUAGCUUACUUAAUAUCACUGAACUUAGUUUGCUUAUCUGGAAGACUUGGGGUAAAACUCUGUGGUAAAGAAUGAGGGUUAAUAAGUAAUUGACUCUGUUCCUAUCCCUCAUCUUCAUGAGGAAAUGUCAGAAUAACUCAUGGAGCCUGUGCUGUAUUCAAGUCUCUGGAGUAUCUGGUUUGAAUUCUAUUAGUUGAGACUGACCAUCAGUUAUUUAGUGAAGUGGUACCAGUUGGC